Long non-coding RNA from Dama dama (fallow deer), 497 nucleotides. RefSeq lists it as uncharacterized. The record is from RefSeq and is a predicted model, not a curated record. Lineage: Eukaryota; Metazoa; Chordata; Mammalia; Artiodactyla; Cervidae. The transcript is spliced from 3 exons.
GUCUCCCUUCGCCUGGGGCUCUCAGACCUGGAGAUCCUGGAUUCUGCGCCCGGGCAAGGGUCCCCAUGCCCUUGAACAAGGACUAUGUUGUCAGGCCCAAGUGGAAUGUGGAAAUGGAAUCAUCCAGGUUUCAGGGGACCUCCAAGAAGGGUAUCAGUCGACUGGAUAAACAGAUGAGAAAGUUCACAGACAUCAGGAAAAAAAGCAGAUCUGCACACGCAGUAAAAAUCAGCAUCGAGGGCAAUAAAAUGCCCUUGUGACUGCCUGGGAGGUUCCCCAUCGCUACUCUUAGGAAAUGCGCAAUGGACUCUUUGGAGAAAGAUGAUAUUUUAAAGACUUUUUUAGUGUACCUGUAAAUGAUUCAGCUUGUAUCAAAUGUCAUAGGAUUCGCAUUUCUCUCAGUUAUAUUUAAAACCAUUUGUUGUGCACUUUGUACAGAAGAAUAGUAGUCAUACUUCUAUAAACUUUACACAAUAAAAUUCCAUUCUGGUUUUGGG